Molecule: long non-coding RNA, 265 nt
Filed under: Arabidopsis lyrata
Lineage: Eukaryota; Viridiplantae; Streptophyta; Magnoliopsida; Brassicales; Brassicaceae
Description: long non-coding RNA (ALYR_LNC003107)
Source: RNAcentral
UAAACCAUCAACAAAAGCUAAGGAGAUGCAUGGACAAAACACAUGUCGUGGAAGGGGCAUAGGUCGUGGGAAACGAGGUGGUCGUGGCUAAUUGUCUCCAAUAGCCUAGCCACUAAGCCAAUCGAAGCGGAUGUUUCGAUUGUAGUUGUGCAUUUAAUGUACCCUUUCUUUAUACUUUUUGUAGGUUUUGAAUAACUGCAUGACUUUAUUGUUAUGACAUUAAGUAGUUUUUUAAUAAAUAAGAUUUUUAAGAAGAAAAAAAAGU